Oxyura jamaicensis (ruddy duck) is the source of this 1868-nucleotide long non-coding RNA. RefSeq lists it as uncharacterized. The record is from RefSeq and is a predicted model, not a curated record. Lineage: Eukaryota; Metazoa; Chordata; Aves; Anseriformes; Anatidae. The transcript is spliced from 2 exons.
AGUAAUAUAUACUACGUAACUAGAAAACAUUGUAACAGUCUGUUCUCAAAUGUUUAAUCCCUGUAGCAGGAAGGAGUGUACUGAGCUGAGUUUUGCAGUGGCUUGUUUUACAAACUAUAAUGUGCAGUAUUGUUGGUUCACAGUGCAGGGUGGGGGCAGGAACACUUUAUUCUCUUUUUAAUUUUUUAUCUCAAUGGUAUGGGCAAUUAACUGUGCUUUCUCCUGUAUAUUUCCCAGCGACCACCUAAUGCAAUCAUUGGGCAGGAGGCCACUAUGGGUAGUUUAACAUCUGGAGAUUCACAUGUGGUAAUUUUACAUGAUGAGAAGGUGAAAGAGGCUAAGACAAAAUUGGAGUUGAUGACCAUACAGAAGCUGCAGAAGGCAACAAGUAGUAUGAGCUUUUUGUGGAAAAUAUUUAAUUAUUAGAAAAAAAAAUGUUGGGAAAGUUUACAGCUGAAAAGAGUUAUAUAGCUGAAAAUAUAUUGGUCCAGGAAGAAAUGUCAAGUUACUUGGAAUUUCAUUUUGGGAAGAAAAGUCUUUGCAAAGUUCAGUCUUUGCAAAGACUGAACAUUUCCAUUUUUAUUCAGAGAUUAUUGUCAAAAUAUUAAUAUUUUUUAUUCGGGAUAAUUAAGCAUUUCUUAAAUGUAAAUAGAAUUUUAAAAAUAGAUAGAAAUAAAAUUCGGAAGGAAAUAAAAUUAUCUUGAUCCAAGGCUAUUUUUCAUUUUACAGACAACUUUGAUUUUUCAUUUCUGGUCUUCCUCUGGCUGAAUAUUAAAUUUCCCUUUACAGGGAGGUGGAUGAUGAUGUACCUCUUGACCAGUUUUCUGUGCAAUACUGGAAAAGGCCACACGGGGGACAAUGCCGCAAGGUAGCUGAGAUUCGACAGAAAGCAGUGUGAUACAGAUUGAUUGCUACCUCUCAUCAAAAAGAUACAUUUCAGAAAGAGCCUAGACAAAAGUUUAUAUACAGGUGUAACUAAUUCAUUACACUUUAAUUUUGUUGGAUGAGGGCUGAAUUAGGUCCUCUGUAAUAAUUUCAGGUGAAAAAAGUAUCUAGAGAGUUAGCCCAUGAACACAUUAGAAGAUAAAAACCACUUAUGUGAGUCAAAAAGUCCAACCCAACAAAGGGAAAAUUCUUCUCCAACGCAUAAUUUUUACAUGAUUUUACAUGAAUGUGUGAAAUAAUUCAUCUGACCUUGGUGGUCUCUGAGAAAAGUCACAGGUCUCUGCAGUUUCUCUUAGACUAAAAAAAAAAAAAAAAAAAAAAAAAAAAAAAAAAGGUACAGCUGCUGAUCUGAGAGUCUCUGCGAGAUAAAGGACUACUGGAAAAGAUGGUGAGCACAACACUGUGCAUACACAGAUACAACAAGAAAUGUGGCAGAGUAGUACCAUGUACUUCUGGCACCAGCCAAUUUAAUUAUUUCUGUUUUAUUUUACUAUUUGGAAGAGCAGACACAGCCAUAGGCUAAUAAGGUAUGUUUUAGGUGUGAAUUCUAAUCAUGAUGAUUUUAUUUAAAGGGACUUUGUCAAUGAUAAGAUAAAUCAAGAGUAAUAACAGCAUGGGAUUUUAUUAGACUUUGUGCAUUAUGCAGAAAAACAUGCAGGAUUCCAUCAGUCAGCUUGCUGAUGCAGGUGAACUGCUGAACUGAUGGAUUCUCCACAACAGCUUAAUUAGCAACUGAACAUUUCAGCCCUCUAUGGAGGUGAAUUAAUGUACAAAACUUCUUCUGGCCUGAAAGGAGCUGUUGGCUGUUCCACCUUUGCCUGUCAGUCCACCUGUUAUCGUGGGGACCAUUUUUCUUCCCUCUUUUCAGUAUGUGGGGCUGGGGCUCCACAAACACAAAGGCCUCUGCAACAAACUCAGUUUAA